This 148-nucleotide non-coding RNA is filed under the name Homo sapiens (human). Lineage: Eukaryota; Metazoa; Chordata; Mammalia; Primates; Hominidae. The record is from Rfam by way of RNAcentral.
ACUGGGCAUGGUGGCACAUGCCUGUAAUCCCAGCUACUUGGGAGGUUGAGGCAGGAGAAUCGCUUGAACUCGGGAGGCGGAGGUUGCAGUGAGCUGAGAUCGGUCCACUGCACUCCAGCCUGAGUGACAGAGCGAGACUCUGUCUCAA